GCAGGGCCCAAGAGAGAGCGUGCCCAAUCUGGCCUUAGGAGUGUCCUCUAUCUCUCCCUGAUUCUGCGCUCUCGCAAGUCAACCGAUCUCACAAAAAUUUCCCCUUCCCCUUCCCCUUCCCUUUCACUUCCACUUCCACCUUUUAAUUCCCAACCCGUCGUAUGCCUCCCCACGGCCUGUCUUCUUGAUCCGUCUAACAAAUCUGCCGAUCUCCUACGCUCCCAUUCCCGCCGCCGCUAGCACAUGUAGUUGCCCCGAUAGCCGGAUGGCUGCUCGACUCCUUCCACCUGUUGGUUGAUCGAUUCGAGAGGAAGAGAUGAGAAGAUAUGACGUGUGGCGACUAUGGGGGGCAGAAGGCAGGACAGCAUGGCCAAAUGUGAUGGCGGCUGUGAGGGGGUUGAGGAAGAUGUGAGCAAACGGAUGUGGUGAGGUUUAAUUUAUUAAUCGCUAAUCUCAGCUAGCGUUUCACCGAAUUAAGUCGUUUCCUCUUUUUGUUCCCACUGGUUUGGUCUUCGAAGCUGUACAUCUAGCCAUUCUCAACUUGCUUAGAGUCCUACAAGUCCUGUUUCAUCUUCUAAUGUCUUGGCUAUGGAAGCACGCCUGUGUUUGAUCUGUUGUGUGAGUAUUCUUGGUUCUCUGUUGACACCAAAUAGUGUUCGUGUAUGAACAUUUUUAAUAUUCUGUAGCUGUCUACAUGUUAUAUACAUACAGGUACGUGUACGUCUAACUAACUCUCAAACAUAUUUUGGAUUCUUUGAUCUACAUAUCCAUGCCUCACCCCAGUUAAUUGAUGGAAGGUAAUUUUUAAUCUUAGCCGGAACCAGGUCGUUCCACCGAAUUGGUUCCUUUUGAUUUUCUCAUAUACUGAAGUGGUAGACUGUGAAACUUAUGGGCUGAUAGAUAGGAGAGCCUGCAGGUGGACGACGGGGUGAGGUGCUAAUAAAUCCUGAGAACUGUCGAAGAGAGGACACCUCAGUGGCGAGGGAGCAAGCCUCCCGAUUUACACUGGAGCGACGCACUGCUCAAUCCUGGUAGCCCACCGAUGAAGUCGUUUCCUCUUUUUGUUCCCGCUGGUUUGGUCUUCGAAGCUGUACGUCUAGCCAUUCUCAACUUGCUUAGAGUCCUACAAGUCCCGUUUCAUCUUCUAAUGUCUUGGCUGUGGUAGCACGCCUGUGUUGAUAUGUUGUGCCUGCCAACUGUAGCAGUUCAUUGGAUGAGACACGGUAGUCCGAGUCUUUGCCUGGAAGUGCUUCGACCGUCGAUCUACGAUCUGGUGGCUACGAGAAGAACUUACAGGUUCGCUGCUGAGAGUGCCCACAACCGUCGAUCGUCAUCUGGACGGCUGGAGUCGUCGCGCGUUACUUUUUAAAAGUUACCGCGAUGUCUUUUACCUGUCGAACAUGUCGCUUUCUACUUUCUCUGAAUAUCCCUUUAUAAACCCUCCUCCGGUUUGUGGAGAGGGCAUUCUGGAUUAUUCUGGGCUUGGCCCUUGUAGCCGCCGUGUUCCGGCUGGCAAAACCCUAGCUACCUUGCUUCAGAUUUGAAUGAAUCGAGCCCCAAAA
Triticum aestivum (bread wheat) is the source of this 1562-nucleotide long non-coding RNA. RefSeq lists it as uncharacterized. The record is from RefSeq and is a predicted model, not a curated record. The transcript has 2 exons. NCBI's taxonomy places the organism in Eukaryota, Viridiplantae, Streptophyta, Magnoliopsida, Poales, Poaceae.